UUGCCACUAAUGACUUGUGAACUUUUUGGAGAAAAAGCAAGAAACCAAAACUUAUGAAAUGAAAAACAGAAAUACUAGCUCUGGGGAACUAGUUUCUUUUCAAGAAUCAUAUCAUCUGUAGAGAAAUCAGCUGCUUUCCUGAAUGUUCCUCGUCCGAAAUCUAGGUUGUAAGAGUCUGUAAGACCUUCCACCAGAUCAAAAUCAGGUUUCCAUCCUAGCUCAGCCUUUGACUUCUCGAUGGAUGUAAAGAAAUGCUGGUCACGGAAUG
Molecule: unclassified non-coding RNA, 268 nt
Filed under: Hevea brasiliensis (rubber tree)
Lineage: Eukaryota; Viridiplantae; Streptophyta; Magnoliopsida; Malpighiales; Euphorbiaceae
Source: RNAcentral